UUAACAUAACCGGUCUCUUGGAUGUUGUUUUUGAAAAUAUGAGAAAUUUGAUUCACCCGCAUAUAUUGAGGCAGCCAUAAUUAAGCCGAUUAAGUACCAAACCCUAGAACAUACUUUUCAUUUUCUCACUAUAGUCCUCCGCCACUUUGCACUCUCAACUCAUUUCAUUUCAUCUUUUCUUUUUAUCUCUUCUCCCUCCUCUCACCAUCUCAAUUUGUUUUCCUCUUGCUUGAUCAUUUUUUCUGGUUUCUAGGGUGAGUCUCACACAUAAAAUUUCAUCCUUUACUUCUUUCUCAAUCUCAAGAAGUUAUCUACCCUCUAUCAUUUCAAAUUUUCAAGAUCUAUUACAAGGUACCGAUCUUUCAAGUUUCAAGUUUGAAUAGAAGAAAUCUGUAAUUGAAGAUCUGGGUAGUUUAUAGUCGUCAUUUCCAAAAUUUCAUUUUGAUUUAUGUAUUGAAAUCUGUAAUUACUAUGUACGUAAUUUUUGAGGUGUAUGAAAUGCAAGAAUAUUUUUUUUUUAA
This is a long non-coding RNA of Chenopodium quinoa (quinoa), 521 nucleotides long. RefSeq lists it as uncharacterized. NCBI's taxonomy places the organism in Eukaryota, Viridiplantae, Streptophyta, Magnoliopsida, Caryophyllales, Amaranthaceae. The transcript has 2 exons. The record is from RefSeq and is a predicted model, not a curated record.